RNAcentral lists this ribosomal RNA (194 nucleotides) under uncultured Symbiodinium. RNAcentral describes it as "partial Bacterial large subunit ribosomal RNA". It matches the Rfam family "Bacterial large subunit ribosomal RNA", at positions 915 to 1107 of the family's 2925-position model. Lineage: Eukaryota; Dinophyceae; Suessiales; Symbiodiniaceae. The record is from RNAcentral.
AGGACUAGGGGGAGUCACAUCCUACCAAAUCCAGAUGAACUCCGAAUGCUAGUAAAUAUACCAUACAGUGAGGGUUGGGGUGCUAAGGUCCCAAUCCGAGAGGGAAAGAACCCAGACCUACAGCUAAGGUCCCAAAAUCUACUCUAAGUUGAACUAAGGGGGUCCAGUUGCUUAGACAGCCAGGAUGUUGGCUU